AUGACUCUUCUUUCAGUUAUUCUGUUCUGUGCCUCAACAGCUGUGUUUGGAAAUGUAAUAAAACCAAAGACAAUCAAAGUUCUUAGUGAGGAGGGUUCAAGUGUUACAUUAUCCUGUGGUUUUUCUGACUAUGGACGUACAGAUUAUCUUCACUGGUAUCGUCAGUAUGGAAGAUCAAAACCUGAAUUUCUUGUACUCACCUACAGUAGUGCAAAAGGAGCUAAAGAGUCUGAUGUAGAUCCAAGAUUCACUGUUAACAUUACAGAAAGGGAACGUGUGGAUCUGAUCAUCUCCUCUGCUGCUGUAUCAGACUCUGCUCUGUACUACUGUGCUCUGCAGCCCACAGUCACAGGAAACACAUCAACUCUCUACAAAAACCUGUUACAAUGA
This is a non-coding RNA of Carassius auratus (goldfish), 390 nucleotides long. Lineage: Eukaryota; Metazoa; Chordata; Actinopteri; Cypriniformes; Cyprinidae. The record is from the annotation of a RefSeq genome assembly.